AGACAAUUUGUUCCUUCUAGUACUUUAAGAAAAUAGUGCUAGAAUUUUAGUGUUGUCUUAAAGAAAUUGAAAGUUUUCACGUUUGACUUUAUUUAGAUGGUAAAAGUCGAGUUUUUCCGCUUUCAAACAUCU
Onthophagus taurus is the source of this 132-nucleotide small nucleolar RNA. RefSeq annotates it as small nucleolar RNA SNORA79. The record is from RefSeq and is a predicted model, not a curated record. NCBI's taxonomy places the organism in Eukaryota, Metazoa, Arthropoda, Insecta, Coleoptera, Scarabaeidae.